RNAcentral lists this ribosomal RNA (441 nucleotides) under Streptococcus sanguinis. Its description in RNAcentral is "bacterial SSU rRNA". It matches the Rfam family "Bacterial small subunit ribosomal RNA", at positions 38 to 465 of the family's 1533-position model. Lineage: Bacteria; Bacillati; Bacillota; Bacilli; Lactobacillales; Streptococcaceae. The record is from RNAcentral.
GGCGGCGUGCCUAAUACAUGCAAGUAGAACGCUGAAGAGAGGAGCUUGCUCUUCUUGGAUGAGUUGCGAACGGGUGAGUAACGCGUAGGUAACCUGCCUGGUAGCGGGGGAUAACUAUUGGAAACGAUAGCUAAUACCGCAUAAAAUUGAUUAUUGCAUGAUAAUUAAUUGAAAGAUGCAAUUGCAUCACUACCAGAUGGACCUGCGUUGUAUUAGCUAGUUGGUGAGGUAACGGCUCACCAAGGCGACGAUACAUAGCCGACCUGAGAGGGUGAUCGGCCACACUGGGACUGAGACACGGCCCAGACUCCUACGGGAGGCAGCAGUAGGGAAUCUUCGGCAAUGGGGGGAACCCUGACCGAGCAACGCCGCGUGAGUGAAGAAGGUUUUCGGAUCGUAAAGCUCUGUUGUAAGAGAAGAAACGGGUGUGAGAGUGGAAAG